GUACACUGAGCAGGUAAGCCGUCAUUACACAUCUGUAACAUCUGUAACUGGGGUUCCCUUAAAUAGUCCCAUGUUUAAGCCAGUCAGGUUUCCUGAUUUUGAGAAAUCUCAACUUACUAUUUUCUCUGGCCUUCCUUUUGUUUUUCAAUCAUUAAGGUUCAAGUGGCUACUGUUUUAAAUGAUUCAUUUGGCUUUAUUCUCUAACUACUGGAAACAUGUACUUAAGAUUUUUCUUCUGAGUCAAAAGUUAGAAGCUCAAGCUACUGGAAAACGGACUCAUCGUGUCAAGGGGAACUCACGCUGACAGAGGCGCAAAUUCUUGUACAACUAGUUAACAUGAAGAGAGGAGAGUACAAGGAACAGAUCGUAGUCCUCAAAUGUCCCAGACAAUCAACAUCAGGAAAUGAGAAAUGCUCCCAUGGAAGAGAAUGUCCCCAGGGACCAACAAGGGACAGGAUGUGAACAUCUGCUCUUCAAGUCCAUUUCCUUCACUCCCUUGAGUUUAAGGAGGCAGAGGAAGGAGAUGGGAAUCCAGGCCCAUGAAGGGAAUGGGAUAAAGUAACAAGAGAUAGGCAAACAGCCAAGUGUGCUCUAACUCUGACUGACCGUGGAAGGCUAAGGAGUCAUUUGCCAGCAAAGCUUGUGCAAGUCUAUGGAGGCAAAUGAACAGAAUAUUUCUAAUGUGGAAAGAGGCAGCUGGUUACAUCACCUGGCUCUGCUGGUGUCUAAAAUGAACCCAUUAGGAAAUCUAGUCCUCAAGGAGACAAGAAAAAUCCUGAAAAGUUUAUUGAGGUUAAACCUGGCGCUGAAGUAUAAUGAUCAUAGAUUCAAAACAAUUCUCAACCUUUAAAAUGCAACAUCACACUUGGUUUAUGAUGUGCUACUAUAAAUCACACAAACACUGUGUCAGAGGGACACAGCAAAACUACUAACACUGGACUUAGGGCAUAAAAUGAAAAGUACUUGAAUCAUGUAGAAACUGCUUAGCAACCUAGAAAAGUAUUCAAAUAUGCCUGCUAAUAUGCAAAUAUAAUAUUCAUAUAAAUAAAUAUCUUUAAAUGAUAAUUAAAGCUAGGUGUGCUAGCAUACACCUCUAAUCCUAGCACUCAUGAGUCAGAGGCAGGAAAAUCUCUUUAAGAUUCCAGGCCGGUCUUGUCAGCACAGCAAGUUCUAGGCUCGCCAGUGAUACGUAGUGCUACCCUGUCUCAAAAUAUAAAAAUAAAAUUUAAAAAUGGUAAUAAAAA
This is a non-coding RNA of Rattus norvegicus (Norway rat), 1244 nucleotides long. Lineage: Eukaryota; Metazoa; Chordata; Mammalia; Rodentia; Muridae. The record is from RefSeq and is a predicted model, not a curated record.